Long non-coding RNA from Peromyscus californicus insignis, 1714 nucleotides. RefSeq lists it as uncharacterized. Lineage: Eukaryota; Metazoa; Chordata; Mammalia; Rodentia; Cricetidae. The record is from RefSeq and is a predicted model, not a curated record. The transcript is spliced from 2 exons.
UCAAACUCAGAGAGAUCCACUUGCCUUUGCCUCCCAAGUACUAGGGUUAAAGGUGUGUGCCACCAUGCCCAGUUUAAAAAGAAUUCUUACAGCAAGAGAAACACACACAUUACGUGUUCCCAGUUAUGAAAGUAUCUAUAGUGAGAGCGGUUGCCAAGGAAGGGCUAGGGAGCCCAGAGUUUCAUGUCUACAAAGUUUUAGUUUGGGAAGAUCAAAAGGUUCUGGAGAUAAAUGUAAAUAUAUCAACGACACUGAAUUUACCCUUAAGAUAGUUAAAACUACAUUUUAUGUUAUGUAGACUUUAAACACAUAUUUUAUUGUGCUUAAAAUCAUAAACAAGAAAGCCUCUUUGGAAAAGGGGGUAAAAUUGAGCCAAAGGAACACCUUGACGCGGGCGCGUUCCUCCAAUUGCCCCUUGCGCGCUCGGAACUGAGUCUAUUAGCAUGUUCCUUCCCAUAGUGCUUUGCUGCAGUUUCCCCCACGUACACCUACUUAAAUUAAACAGUAAUCUCCCUCCUGGGCCUCACACAGAGAGCACCAUGAGAUUAUAUGAGGCGCUGUAACUUUCCCGCUAACAAUAACCGAAGGCUUUUCCAUCCGACUUGAACCCCCCUUUCUGAAAUAGGAGCCGCGCUUCCUAGCGACGAUGCGCAGGGGGCGGUGUUCUCCAGCUUUGCGCAGUGGCAGUAUCGUAGCCAAUGAGGUUUAUCCGAGGCGCGAUUAUUGCUAAUUGAAAACUUUUCCCAAUACCCCGCCGUGACGACUUGCAAUAUAGUCGGCAUUGGCAAUUUUUGACAGUCUCUACGGAGACUGAAUAACUGUGGUUCAAAGAAAAUAGGAAAAACUGUUUCAGCUUCUCUGCUCGGUGCUUGCUGACCCAGAGUUUGCAUUUGAAGUUGUAUUUUCCUGAAGUUUUGGAGAUAAACUCUAUCCUGGUCGGUCGUUCAUUUAAAAGAAAUCUCAGUUUUAUUGAGAGGGGUCUCUCACGUGGAUGGCUUAGAAUUCGCAGCAAUCCUGUCUCCGCCUCCGGAUCUCUCACUGUGUAUCCGGGACUAGCCUGAAACUCGCGGCAGUCCUCCUGCCUCCGCCUCCCGAGCGCUCGAGUUGCUAGGGUUACAGACGAGAGUCUUUAUGCCCCGCUCUCCCCACCACGGUCUGUUUCUGCAUCCGACCGCACGUCGGUCCCUUGGGCUUACCCGCUUUCUCCCACCGCGGUUGAGAGUCUCCACCCGGGCCAUCGCCAUGACGUCGCCUCGAUUUGCAUAAGCGUCGCCCCAGCAUCCCAAGCGGCGGCUGCGCUGUUUGUAAAUCACGAGCCUCCGGGCGCGAGAUAGCCCACCGGCCAGGAUCUGUCCGCGCGGACGCCGGAGGAGAAACUGCUGGGUCGGGGCCCGUCACGAGGCGGUCGCGCGCGGGCGGGAGCUCACCGUGACUGUGAUGGGCAUCGCCGGCCCUGGGAAGCUGAGCGGGGCCGGUCGCUCUCCAGCUUUGCGCAGUGGCAGUAUCGUAGCCAAUGAGGUUUAUCCGAGGCGCGAUUAUUGCUAAUUGAAAACUUUUCCCAAUACCCCGCCAUGACGACUUGAAAUAUAGUCGGCAUUGGCAAUUUUUGACAGUCUCUACGGAGACUGAAUAUUACGAGUCUGAAAAUUAGAUUGUUUUAUCCACCGACUUAGCGUGCACAGUUAGCGUUCUCAGUAAAAUUGUGUCUUUGCCU